Molecule: long non-coding RNA, 3476 nt
Organism: Lagenorhynchus albirostris (white-beaked dolphin)
Lineage: Eukaryota; Metazoa; Chordata; Mammalia; Artiodactyla; Delphinidae
Exons: 3
Source: RefSeq, a predicted model, not a curated record
UCGCCGGCAAAGCCCCGCGCAGGCAGGCUGAGGAGUGGAGGCAGAGGGCGGGAACGAGGGACACGUUACCUUGUUCAUCCCAUUCCCCAUGGCGGCCGCGCGGUCUAGCGCCCGGGGCGCGGCGGCAGGCGCACUGAGGGCAUGUUGGAGCGGGCGGGGGAGCAGCGGGAGGGCGGGCAGGGGGCACUGCGCGCCCGCAGCGUAAACAGCAACACGGACCGGCGGCGCCCAGGCCUCUCUGUCCGCUGCGCUCCUGUCCCCCGCGGCCCCCGGGCUCCUCGGCCGCCGGACAGCGGCACAGGCGCCCCUGCGGGAAGGGGCUCGCGGCGCCCGCCCCCUCCCGGAGUGAGCCCGGCGCCUGCCACGCCGGCCCGCGGGACUUGUGGACGCGGUUCCUAGGGGCCCGGCCGGGGCGCAGGGAUUAUGUCUCCCGGGGACCGGGGUGCAGGGACAUGACUCCUGGAAGCGGGGGCCUCCAGGAUUCUGGCUACUCGGGGGCCCGGGCCCAGGGCGCACGCGCACCCCCCGCCCCGACCGCCGUCGCCCUGCGCGUUCCGAGACGGGGCGGGGCCGGUGGUCACGCAGGCGCAGCCCCUACCUAGUGAGGCGUGUCACGGGUCGCUCCCCGGGGGUCAGGGUCACCAAAACUCCGGCAGGCCUUUCCCCGGGGCCACUGGGGGCCUGUUACCGGCAGUCGCCGCCCUGCCUUGACUGCCUGGGUGAAUCAGGUGCUAAUCGAAGCCUUGGUCUUGCAGGCUCCCCUGCCUGGGUUUUCUGAGUGCUACCGAUUUAGUCCGGGUGGGGGGAUUCCUACGGCCCUGCCGCACCCACGAAGAGCGAGAAGGCUCACCCGGUGGAGAAGGUGGGCUCGGUGACUCAUCUCUGGGAUGACCUAACCUCCCGACCCUGGCGGAGCAGAUGUCCGGAUGUCAGACGUCAUACCGUGACUUUGGACGGCCAGUGUGCCCCCUUCAGAUUGUAAACUGGCUCUAGUAGUUGCAUGGAACUGUCCAGAAGGAGAAUGGGUAUCCAGUUGAGUGCUUGGGGCCUUGCCAAGCAGUGUGAGCACAAGGAUGGCCCCUUCAGUGACCUCAGCGUUUGAAAGGCCACUGAUUUCCAGCCUCCAAGCAGUCUCCUGAACAUGAACUUGGUUUCCUUCUUCCACUUAAGAGGUUUGGGGACCGCGGAUCUCAGAGCACUGACAACUGGAGAGUGUGGCGUCAGGGGAAAACAGCAGGAGGAAUGAAUACCCAGCUCAUCUGGGUGCAAGGAGACACACCAAGUACUUCCCUGGUGAUGGUCAGAAAUGUCUGCAGCCCUUGGAGAGCAAAUGCAGCCCCUGCCAGUGUUGUUUGUGCAGUGGGCCCAUAGGGAUGAGAUAUUUUAGGGACGAGAUUUCUUUCUCUGUGUGUCUCUUUCUCUCACUUGAUAACCACUCAAAUGUACACUAAUAGGUGAUGUUAGCUGGUUUCAUGUGUGUAGCUAAGUGAUUCAGACUGUUUUCACGGUCUCCAGAUCUUCCUAAAACCCUAUUCAAAGUGACUGCAUGGCCUGCAAUCUAGUGGAGAGUGGGAUAGCCCCUGAGUGUCCCUGGCCAGAGGAUCCGUCUGCAUUUACCACACCUGCAUGCCCAGCUGCCCUCUGGGAGGCGUACUUCUGCUUCUUCAAAUGCCUUUGGUGGUUGGGGGCAGCCCUGAACUGAAGACACGAGAGAACAUGGCAAGAGAAGCCCCAGCUCUGAGAAACAGCUGGGCAGGGGCAGCUCCCCUUAGAGAGACUGAUCCGCACCUGCGGAAUGUUACUGUAGAGUUCUUUCCUACUGAAGAGCUUCAUGUUGGUUAGUUUUGUUUGUUUUUUUCCCCCUUUUAUGUGAAACAGAAAUUGAACUAGAUCUGAAGACAUUAAAAAGUGUCUGGGUAGGGGGCUGGAUGGAGAAGGGGGUUUCCUCAGAGGAUGGAAUGUCCCAAGAGAAAUUUCACUUGUCGUGAGAGGGGAAGUCCAUUUCAUAUGACGUAGUGGUGUCAUUGUUCAACACUCUGUUGGGCAAUUUGUUAAUAUUUAUCAUUAUUUUGAUUUGUCAUUCAUCAUUAAAACCCUGUGAAUUACAGAAAGACCAUUAUACAUAAAGUGCUACUCAGGCUAAACAAUAGAUGAGGAUCAUUUUCUUUCUUAUACACGACGGGGCGUUUGUGUUUUCUCACUGACCAUCUCUUGGUCUGCAGGAGACCACCUGCCUCCACCCAGACAAGAGUUUCACUCAGAGCUGCGAAUUGCUGCUCAAAGACUGGCACCUUUCCAGUGCUUGUUGGCCUGCACUUUUUACCAUCUCUGUCAUACCUGUGUCCUCUCUAUGCAGGGCUUCAACUCCAGAUCUGCAUAGACAGCCACUAGCACAGGAGCAAGUGCUGCAAGGAGGAUCAAGCCACGGUAGCACGAGGUGUAUUCAGUUCACAGGAAGUUAGGGUGUGUUUCUCUUUCACCUCUCAUACAUCCAGUAACCCCUGAAAGAGGGCAGGAAGGUCUGAGGCAAUGCUCGCCCUGAUUCACCAACACACAACUUGCAUACUGUACAGACUAGAGCAAUGUCUCAAUCUAAAAACAUUUAUAUUUGGCUUUAUAAUGGCAUCAGUUUCUCCCCAUUCUGCUUCAAAAUACAAGGGAGUCCUUACUUUACGUCUCUUGUAAUUAAAGGGUCCACGAUGGUGCUUACCCUAUCAAAGGCACAGUUUGUCUUCAAGGUGAUGUGAGAUCUGUCUCUAAACAUAGAAAACUUUGUGACUUUUAAAUAGCAGUCUCCUCUCCUGCUUGUCGAGGCUUUGUAAGGCAGCCCGAGGGCAAGUGCAGUGGCUGCUUAGAGAGAGAGAUAAUUGAUAUAUAAGACAGUGUGGUAUGUGGACGUCUUUCCUCACUGCAGUGCUUCUAAAAAUGUGUAUAAUUUCUUGAAGUAUAGUCAUUUACAAUGUUGUGUUGGUUUCAUGUGUAUAGCUAAGUGAUUCAGUUAUAUAUAUUACACAUUUUCAGAUUAUUUUUCAUUAUAGGUUAUUGCAAGAUAUUGAAUAUAACAAAAAAAUGUACAAUUUAAGGGGAACUUUGCUUUUAAAAUCUCACUAUGUUCGUUGCAGUCGUAACAACCAAGCAAACGGGGCAGGAAGCUCUCUGCUUUGUGGUUAUUUUAUUCAAGCCAUGUAUGAAGUUUCUUUUUGGUAUAAAGGUAUGUGUGUGGUUUUUUUCCUUGAGUAACAGUAACUCUAGGACUUCAGAGUCGGUGUAAGUGUUGAUUCUGAUCUCCAGAGUUACAUAUCUGGCUAUGACAGGGCUGCAGAGGUAAAAUGUCUGCUGUGUGGUAGAGGCAGAACUACCUUGAAACAGACCGUGCUCCCUUCUGGUUGUUAAGUGUAAAGUUUCACUGAGUCAAGAUAAUAACCCCUUAGCCCUCUUUACCUAUUUCCUAAAAAAAUAUAUGGUUUUAGUUUGUA